GGAGUUUGGGCCGUGUCUCAGUCCCAAUGUGGGCCGAUCACCCUCUCAGGUCGGCUACCGAUCGUCGACUUGGUGGGCCGUUACCUCACCAACUAUCUAAUCGGACGCCGAGCCCCACCCUUCACCGGAUUCCUCCUUUGACCCCUUUGAGAUGUCUCAUCGUGGUCUCAUGCGGUAUUAGUACAACUUUCGCUGU
Molecule: ribosomal RNA, 196 nt
Filed under: uncultured Coriobacteriales bacterium
Lineage: Bacteria; Bacillati; Actinomycetota; Coriobacteriia; Coriobacteriales
Description: partial 16S ribosomal RNA
Source: RNAcentral